Molecule: ribosomal RNA, 408 nt
Filed under: uncultured bacterium
Lineage: Bacteria
Description: partial 16S ribosomal RNA
Rfam family: Bacterial small subunit ribosomal RNA
Source: RNAcentral
GACGAACGCUGGCGGCGUGCCUAAUACAUGCAAGUCGAGCGAAGCGGCGGACGGGUGAGUAACACGUAAGGAACCUACCGAUAAGCGGGGGACAACAUCCGGGAACGGGUGCCAAUACCGCAAUCUUAUCGAUGGCGGUGCGGGGCAUUAGCUGGUUGGUGGGGUAACGGCCUACCAAGGCAAUGAUGCAUAGCUGAUCUGAGAGGGUAAUCGGCCACACUGGGACUGAGACACGGCCCAGACUCCUACGGGAGGCAGCAGUAGGGAAUCUUGCGCAAUGGGCGCAAGCCUGACGGAGCCAUGCCGCGUGAGUGAAGAAGGUUUUCGGGUCGUAAAGCUCUGUUGUAAGAGAAGCGGUAUCUUACCAGAAAGCCCCGGCUAACUCCGUGCCAGCCGCCGCGGUAAUUC